GCUCGUAGUUGGAUUUCGGAGCGGUGCGGUUGGUCAGCCGCAAGGUAUGUUACUGGCCGCGUUGUUCUUCUUCGCCAAGACUACGUGUGCUCUUAAUUGAGUGUGGGUAGGAUUUGCGACGUUUACUUUGAAAAAAUUAGAGUGUUCAAAGCAGGCUUUUGCUUGAAUACAUAAGCAUGGAAUAAUGGAAUAGGACUUUGGUUCUAUUUUGUUGGUUUCUAGAACCGAAGUAAUGAUUAAUAGGGACAGUUGGGGGCAUUCGUAUUUCGUUGUCAGAGGUGAAAUUCUUGGAUUUACGAAAGACGAACUAAUGCGAAAGCAUUUGCCAAGAAUGCUUUCAUUAAUCAAGAACGAAAGUUAGAGGAUCGAAGACGAUCAGAUACCGUCCUAGUUCUAACCAUAAACGAUGCCGACUAGGGAUCAGCGGGUGUUAUUGUAUGACCGCGUUGGCACCUUAUGGGAAACCAAAGUUUUUGGGUUCCGGGGGAAGUAUGGUUGCAAAGCUGAAACUUAAAGGAAUUGACGGAAGGGCACCACCAGGAGUGGAGCCUGCGGCUUAAUUUGACUCAACACGGGAAAACUCACCAGGUCCAGACAUAGUAAGGAUUGACAGAUUGAGAGCUCUUUCU
RNAcentral lists this ribosomal RNA (629 nucleotides) under Parisis sp. TER7013. RNAcentral's name for it is "SSU rRNA". It matches the Rfam family "Eukaryotic small subunit ribosomal RNA", at positions 626 to 1262 of the family's 1831-position model. Lineage: Eukaryota; Metazoa; Cnidaria; Anthozoa; Scleralcyonacea; Parisididae. The record is from RNAcentral.